GCCGGGCGUGGUGACGUGCGCCUGUAGUCCCAGCUACUCAGGAGGCUGAGCUGGGAGGAUCGCUUGAGCCCGGGAUUUUGAGGCUGCAGUGAGUGGCGAUGGCACCACUGCACUCCAGCCUGGGUGACAAGAGUGAGACCCUGUCUCAA
This is an unclassified non-coding RNA of Pongo abelii (Sumatran orangutan), 149 nucleotides long. It matches the Rfam family "Metazoan signal recognition particle RNA". From Rfam's summary of the family: The signal recognition particle (SRP) is a universally conserved ribonucleoprotein. It is involved in the co-translational targeting of proteins to membranes. The record is from Ensembl. Lineage: Eukaryota; Metazoa; Chordata; Mammalia; Primates; Hominidae.